Molecule: long non-coding RNA, 502 nt
Organism: Misgurnus anguillicaudatus (oriental weatherfish)
Lineage: Eukaryota; Metazoa; Chordata; Actinopteri; Cypriniformes; Cobitidae
Source: RefSeq, a predicted model, not a curated record
AGAGAAACAGAAACCAAUCAGAUGAACAAGCUUCAGAGUUCCCAAAACAAAUUUAAAUUAUUAAUGGCAACACUGGGGUGUCAUGGGAUAUCCGCAUGCGAGCAUAUGGACCAAGAAGCAGCAGAGGACAAAGAAUGAGAAGGUCUUUAUCCUGUUGAGAUGACUCCAGGUCCCUCUUGAUCUCAGGAAAGUCUUUCAGGACGCGUUGAAAGUGACCCACUGACAAGGAAAAGAGCUGGCAGCAGUCCGAUGGGAACUCUUCAAGCAUAGGUACGAAAUACUGAAUACAGCCGUUCCAAUGACAAAGCAGGAAAAUCAUCAUAAAUAAAGACAAGAUCCGCAGGAAUAACCUCAUCACCUCCAGAUGUAUUACACAAAUAUCAUUAGGAGCAAACAUUUGUUACUUACUUUCUCUACCUCAUUGAAAAACCGAACAAGCCGGGACACACGCAGCAGACGGACAAGACUGAGGAUUCUCACGAACAUCAAGAUGCGCAUCAUU